CGCCACCAACACCCGCUAAUUUUUGUAUUUUUUGUAGCGAUGGAUUUUCGCCAUGUUGCCCAGGCUCGUCUUGAAUUCAAGCUCAAAGAGAUUGCCCCUCCUCGGCCUCCGAAAGUGCUGGGAUUACAAGCGUGAGCCACCACGCAUGGCCUGUGUUUUCUGUAUUACUGUAAGGAGACUGAUGGCAAACUGCCGCUAGCAUUCUGCAUGGCUAUCAGAGAAAGAAAGUAGCAAAGACUGUAGCUGUUGGAGAAACAAGGUAACAAAACCUGUAUCACAGAAGGCAAGUGGUAAAGGCUGAUUCUGCUGUGAAGAAUAGGGAAAAAAAUGGAGGUAGGUACUAGGUCCUACCAAGGCAUUGUUAUAUGAAAGGAAGACAAAAUGGCGUUCACAUGGUUAUGGGUAUAGGGGGGUAGGAGGUGUGUGGGAGGCACUUAACUGGCAAAUACAAUCUUUAAAGAAGAAAGUAGUAAUUACCGUGGGAGAAACAACCAUGAAAGUAUAUAGGAUUCUCAACAUUUUUCAGUGGAAUGGGGAGAGGCCAACUUGUUUGGCUGUGUUCCUCUGAGCUGCCUUCCAUCCGGAGCUACUGAUUUUCUAUUGUUGAAUUUAAAAGGACUUUUUAUUAAUGUACCCGCGGCCAAUUUAAAGGUGCUAUCGACUGAUACCUCAUAAAACACGGAAACCAGUUUCAUAAAGCCACCAGCCCAACAAGUACCAUUUUAAGUUUUAAAAACAUGCCUACUUCAGCUGCAAGAGUUUCCAGUAACUUCACGUGUCAGUAUAUAGCUCCAAUUGUGAAAAGAGAAUGGAGACUUCAUCUCCAUACAUGGUGUUGGGGUGCUGAAGCAAGAUGAAGAGAGAAGCAUCCCUGAAGGACCAGAGAAGUGGUAAUUGCGUGGGCGUGUAGUGUGAUAUGGGGAGAGUACCAUAAAAAAAAGAGACAGGUAUAUACUGUACUAUAUUUAUGUGCAGUACUAUUAUUGGCAGAGAGAAAAGUGGAAAUCUCACUGAUCAUAUGAAAUGCAAGGUUUUGUUUUUACAUGUUGUUAAAUUAAUUCCUUAGAGUUACCAAGAGAUAAUAUUUGUAAUGUAAAGAAGGGACCCUGGAGCUAACCUGCCUAGGUCAGAAAGCUCUCUGUCAUGUAUUAGGCGUAGGACAUUGGACAAGUUAUUUUAAGCUUCACUUGGUAUAUACUCGUGGGUAAAAGUGGGAUAACAGGCCGGGCGUGGUGGCUCACACCUGUAAUCCCAGCACUUUGGGAGGCCGAGGCGGGCGGAUCACAAGUCAGGAG
Cercocebus atys (sooty mangabey) is the source of this 1295-nucleotide long non-coding RNA. RefSeq lists it as uncharacterized. The record is from RefSeq and is a predicted model, not a curated record. The transcript is spliced from 3 exons. NCBI's taxonomy places the organism in Eukaryota, Metazoa, Chordata, Mammalia, Primates, Cercopithecidae.